GCCAAGAUGAGCUAACUUGCUGUUUACAUGUUGAGUAGUGACAGAAAGAAGAUAUUAGAAGUCUCCUUUAUCCCUGUAAUUAAGCCAGUAUGUGUCAGCAGGAGCAGAAACCUCUGUGUGGUAAAGACACUAUUACUCCUAACACCCAGGCACUUCAAGUCCCAGUCAGUGUCUUGGGCAGCCUUUGCUGGCGUUAUAUGGCUUGAUGGUACGCACAGCACAGUGCACACACGUUCAUACCCAGGCGAGGUUGCAGGAUGCAGCAUGGCUGAGUUGUACAUGAGGCUAGCUGCCUCUGCAGAUGCAUCCAAUCGGUGUUUGCCCGCUGACUACAGAGCUGUGGCUCAGUGAAGCAUUCACGCAUGCCCAGGAGCACAGAGGCAGUGUGCCUGGUGCCGGGGCAACCCACCUGAUAAAGAUGGCUUUCUCUUUACCACAGGA
Molecule: long non-coding RNA, 441 nt
Filed under: Rattus norvegicus (Norway rat)
Lineage: Eukaryota; Metazoa; Chordata; Mammalia; Rodentia; Muridae
Description: long non-coding RNA NONRATT026014
Source: RNAcentral